RNAcentral lists this ribosomal RNA (35 nucleotides) under Platanthera bhutanica. RNAcentral's name for it is "partial 26S ribosomal RNA". RNAcentral also lists the same sequence under 2 other names. Lineage: Eukaryota; Viridiplantae; Streptophyta; Magnoliopsida; Asparagales; Orchidaceae. The record is from RNAcentral.
UGACCCCAGGAUGGGCGGGGUGACCCGCUGAGUUU